AACAAAACGAGAAAAGUCUGUCACAGGAACAUGAUGUUCAGGGGGAGAAACACAUUUAAUGUUCUUUAUUAUCCCUGAUAUCUCUUCUUUAUUCCAAAACCAAGAGUAGAAAUGUUCUCUUAAGAUAAUGUGAAGAUGUUCAGAGAGUUUACUUUUAAUCUUCAUGGAAAGCUCUUCUGUAGCCUUUUCCUCUGAGAUCAAAGCAUUCCACUUGCAAGGAUAAGACAGCCAGGUAAACAACUCAAAAUAGCUUCAGGAAUUCCCUGAAACUGACCAGGUUCACUGGGCCCCUUCCUGCUACAGUGACAGAACACAGUCCUAGAAUGGAGUCAUGCCAGGAGAAUUCUGAUUGCUUUUGAGAAAAUGCCAAGAGAACAAGGUCUCACUGCCUCAAUUGUGGUAAACAUUAAGGAAUAAAUAUUGCCAAGAGUCACUCCCAGACAAACUAAGCUGCAAAGAAGACUCUGAGACCAGACCAGCUGCCACAAGGAAGCAGAAACCAGCCCUGCUACCUGGAAGACUCUGAGACCAACUGAGGCACCAGGAAAGGAUACUCUCCAACCUGUUGACCUUCCUGCAGGCUGUGCAGUGUGCACCAGGUUUCCAGCUACUACAAACUAUCACUCAUGCUGGGGAGGGCUCAUAUAGCUAUCUUUGAG
RNAcentral lists this long non-coding RNA (659 nucleotides) under Cricetulus griseus (Chinese hamster). Its description in RNAcentral is "lncRNA (ENSCGRG00015039160.1)". Lineage: Eukaryota; Metazoa; Chordata; Mammalia; Rodentia; Cricetidae. The record is from RNAcentral.